Molecule: ribosomal RNA, 427 nt
Filed under: uncultured bacterium
Lineage: Bacteria
Description: partial 16S ribosomal RNA
Rfam family: Bacterial small subunit ribosomal RNA
Source: RNAcentral
UGGGGAAUAUUGCACAAUGGGCGCAAGCCUGAUGCAGCCAUGCCGCGUGUAUGAAGAAGGCCUUCGGGUUGUAAAGUACUUUCAGCGGGGAGGAAGGUGUUGAGGCUAAUAACCUCAGCAAUUGACGUUACCCGCAGAAGAAGCACCGGCUAACUCCGUGCCAGCAGCCGCGGUAAUACGGAGGGUGCAAGCGUUAAUCGGAAUUACUGGGCGUAAAGCGCACGCAGGCGGUCUGUCAAGUCGGAUGUGAGAUCCCCGGGCUCAACCUGGGAACUGCAUUCGAAACUGGCAGGCUAGAGUCUUGUAGAGGGGGGUAGAAUUCCAGGUGUAGCGGUGAAAUGCGUAGAGAUCUGGAGGAAUACCGGUGGCGAAGGCGGCCCCCUGGACAAAGACUGACGCUCAGGUGCGAAAGCGUGGGGAGCAAACA